This is a long non-coding RNA of Malaya genurostris, 1466 nucleotides long. RefSeq lists it as uncharacterized. The record is from RefSeq and is a predicted model, not a curated record. Lineage: Eukaryota; Metazoa; Arthropoda; Insecta; Diptera; Culicidae. The transcript has 2 exons.
CAGAAAAAACCUGUCAGUGACAUUCAACUUUUUUGUUUCGCUCUCUCUCUUCUGUUUGUUGACAGAAAAAAAGUUUGACGAAUAAAAUUUGGUGAAGAAGAAGAAAAGAUUGCAUAAUCAAACUACCAAUCGACGGGAGCACCAACACCGAACUGAGGAACCUUCCUACAUCCUAUUCCUGUGGGAACUCGUCGAAUGGCCGCCGAACCGAACGACGGGCCGUAGAUGAACAAAAUUGUUCACUUGCAGAUGGGAAAUUCACCCACAGUUAAUAAAUACAACACACACAAACGAAGCGCCGAAGCAGCAAUCAGGAAGCGUGUGUUGGAAGCGAAAAGUAACUAACUAGCGUUAGUAACUUCCCUUUACACGAUGGUUCCCUCUUUGUCAACCGUUUUGUGUCGUUGCGAGCACGUAGGUAGAUAGGUACAAUAAUUAUACACUUAGCAGCUAGCGUUUGCCGCCCACCCCUCCGUCAGUAAAAAAUCCCGGGGGAGAAUCCGGGGGAAACAACUCACCACACCUGAUGAUGAUGACGAAGAUGACGUUGUUGUUCAUGACGAUGACGAUGAUGAUGAUGAUGAUUCGUUAUUAUGGAUAUAAUCAACCAGCCUCUCCCUCCUUCCGAUUGAGUUCCCGUACGAGAAUUGAAACUAUUUUAAUUUCUGAUUUGCACUGGUGCUCCGGUCGGUCGGCAUUACGACGUGUAUUCCGUAUUAGGUAUUAUGUCAGUUUCUAGCAAAUUGUCAAGGACAAAAUUUCCGCUUCGGUGUUGCGGUGCGCUUCACUAGUUUCAGUUGAGUAAUCAAACAGUAAAAACGAUUGUUGUUUCGAAGGGAGGAGGACACUCCGUAGUUUUUUUUCUGCUUUGUUGGCAUCUGGUUCUAAUAUGUCUGCGAACAGCCAGUAAUCGCUGGGAGCCAAAUCUGGCGAAUACGGAGGGUGUGAGAGCAAUUUGAAGAUCAAUUCAUGUAGUCCAUUGUUUUGAUUGACUUGUGACACGGUGCGCUGUCUUGUUGAAACAAAUUUUUUUUUGUUGCGGAAAACUCUUUACUUUCGCUUGGGUUUUGAGGUAGUCAGGCACAUAUCCUCAACUGACAGCGUAUAAAAGGGGAACCGUGGUCGAAAAUCGAUCAUUUCUUCUUGUGCGUUGGAUGGAAGCAGACGUCGGGGCGAGAAGACGCAUUAAACCAGUUUCGCAUCAUUUGGCACUGCGAGCGGAUGUGUUGCGGUUUGUACGCAAAGCUAGUUUCAACUCAAACAAGAGCGAUUGGCGUAGGUUUCGUCGUCGAUCAGGAUGCAUCAUACGACAGAGCUGCUGGUCGUUUGCAUUGGAGAGAAAGAAAACGAAAAGUGGACAACAUUAAGGAGUGUAUCGAAAAGUAGUUAGCAACAUUGAUUAUUGAAUAAAAAAGCGAAAAAAAAAAUAUUUUGACAUCAGUUUUCGAUAUAUUGUAGAAAAAUUA